GAUGAAGAACGCAGUGAAAUGCGAUAGGUAAUGUGAAUUGCAGAAUUCAGUGAAUCAUCGAGUCUUUGAACGCACAUUGCGCCCCCUGGUAUUCCGGGGGGCAUGCCUGUUCGAGCGUCAUUUCACCACUCAAGCCUCGCUUGGUAUUGGGCAACGCGGUCCGCCGCGUGCCUCAAAUCGACCGGCUGGGUCUUCUGUCCCCUAAGCGUUGUGGAAACUAUUCGCUAAAGGGUGUUCGGGAGGCUACGCCGUAAAACAACCCCAUUUCUAAGGUUGACCUCGGAUCAGGUAGGGAUACCCGCUGAACUUAAGCAUAUCAAUAAGGGAGGA
Molecule: unclassified non-coding RNA, 330 nt
Filed under: soil metagenome
Description: partial contains 5.8S ribosomal RNA, internal transcribed spacer 2, and large subunit ribosomal RNA
Rfam family: 5.8S ribosomal RNA (bases 1-120)
Source: RNAcentral